GCUGCGUGCAGUGGCACAUGCCUGUAGUCCCGGCUACACGGGAGGCUGAGGCUAGAGGAUUGUUUGAGCCCAGGAGUUCUGGGCUGUAGUGUGCUAUGCUAAUUUGCUGUCUGCACGAAGUUCGGCAUCAAUAUGGUGACCUCCCGGGAGCAGGGGACCACCAGGUUGCCUAAGGAGGGGUGAACCGGCCCAGGUCAGAAAUGCAGCAAGUCAAAACUCCCGUGCUGACCAGUAGUGGGAUUGCGUCUGUGAAUAGCCACUGCACUCCAACCAGCCUGGGCAACAUAGCAAGAUACCAUCUCUU
Molecule: unclassified non-coding RNA, 304 nt
Organism: Callithrix jacchus (white-tufted-ear marmoset)
Lineage: Eukaryota; Metazoa; Chordata; Mammalia; Primates; Cebidae
Rfam family: Metazoan signal recognition particle RNA
About the family: The signal recognition particle (SRP) is a universally conserved ribonucleoprotein. It is involved in the co-translational targeting of proteins to membranes.
Source: Ensembl